GAGCUAGUUUCACUGCAGAAGAAUAGGUAUCUGGUCUUAGAUGAGGCAGCUAGGAUGCUGGACAUGAGUUUUGAACCCCAGAUUAGGAAGAUUGUAGAACAAAUAGAUAUGCCCCCAGCAGGUGAAGAUUUAAAGCUAUUUUGUUGUUGAAGGUGGAAUCUUGGCAAUUUAGUGGACUCAAUUUCUUAAUGUUUUUUGAGAUUGUUAUGUAUGACAUAAUAUGUCUAUUUUAAAUGUUAGUAAGAUAAUGUUUUCCACUACUAAGUAAAAAUAUUCUACACUGCACUAUGGUGAACAUUGUUUAACUAUUGGUUUAUCGUUGUAAGACUUUUAUGUAAAUUUUUAAUAUAUACGAUGAACACCUUUUAUUUUA
Molecule: non-coding RNA, 373 nt
Organism: Cicer arietinum (chickpea)
Lineage: Eukaryota; Viridiplantae; Streptophyta; Magnoliopsida; Fabales; Fabaceae
Source: RefSeq, a predicted model, not a curated record